CCUGAAACCCUGUGCUUACAAGCACACAGAGCACGUCAAAGUGUGAUGUGGUACCUAUUGUAGAAUGGUCCGGCGAGUUAUUUUAUGCAGCGAGGUUAAGGACUUAAGGUCUGUAGCCGAAGUGAAAGCGAGUGUUAAUAGCACGAAACAGUUGCAUGCAAUAGACCCGAAACCGGGUGACCUAUCCAUGUCCAGGCUGAAGUGAGGGUAAAACCUCAUGGAGGGCCGAACCGACUCCCGUUGAAAUGGUAGCGGAUGAGGUGUGGAUAGCGGAGAAAUUCCAAUCGAACCCGGAUAUAGCUGGUUCUCCCCGAAACCGUUUUAGGACGGGCCUCGUGUGAAGAUUAUCGGAGGUAAAGCACUGAAUAGCCUAGGGGGCGAGAGCCUACCGAAGCUUAUCAAACUCUGAAUGCCGAAUAAUCGUUUCACGGGAGUCAGACUGUGUGAGAUAAGUUUCAUAGUCAAAAGGGAAACAGCCCAGACCCACAGCUAAGGUCCCAAAGUGUAUUUAAGUGGAAAACGAUGUGAAGUUGCGUAGACAACCAGGAUGUUGGCUUAGAAGCAGCCACUCAUUAAAAGAGUGCGUAAUAGCUCACUGGUCGAGUGACUUUGCGCGGAAAAUUUAACGGGGCUAAAAUACACACCGAAGCUUGGGCUUGACGCUUUUGCGUCAGGGGUAGGGGAGCGUCGUGUAAGGGGCGAAGUCGUAUCGUAAGGGACGGUGGACUUUACACGAGUGAGAAUGCCGGAAUGAGUAGCGAGAAUUAUGUGAGAAUCAUAAUGGUCGAAAGCCUAAGGUUUUUGGAGGAAGGUUCGUCCGCUCCAAGUAAGCCGGGAGCUAAGGUCAGGCGGAAACGCGUAGCCGAUGCACAUACGGUUGAAAUUCCGUAGCCUCAGAAAGAUUUAAGCAGAGGGACACUUUGAAAGGACUGUAGCCGGGUGUUGGUUACCCCGGUCGUAAGGGAACGAAAUUAAGUAGUGAAGGCAGUCUGGACGGAGGCGAGAAAAGCUCUGUGUAUAUCUGAUGAGCCCGUACCGCAAACCGACACAGGUAGGUGGGAUGAGAAUUCUAAGACCAACGGGAGAAGGGUAGUUAAGGAACUCGGCAAAUUGUCCCCGUAACUUCGGAAUAAGGGGAGCCUGCGAAAGCAGGCCGCAGAGAAUUGGCCCAGGCGACUGUUUAUCAAAAACACAGCUCUAUGCUAAAUCGAAAGAUGACGUAUAUGGGGUGACACCUGCCCGGUGCUGGAAGGUUAAGAGGAGAUGUGAGAGCAUCGAAUUGAAGCCCCAGUAAACGGCGGCCGGAACUAUAACGGUCCUAAGGUAGCGAAAUUCCUUGUCAGGUAAGUUCUGACCCGCACGAAUGGUGUAACGAUCUGGGCACUGUCUCGACUACCCGCCCGGCGAAAUUGUAGUACCGGUGAAGAUGCCGGUUACCCGCGACUAGACGGAAAGACCCCAUGGAGCUUUACUGUAGCUUAAUAUUGGAUUUCGGCAGUUCAUGUACAGGAUAGGUGGGAGACUAUGAAACACGGGCGUCAGCUUGUGCGGAGUCGUCCUUGGGAUACCACUCUUGGAUUGCUGGAAUUCUAACCUGCGGCCCUGAAUCGGGUCGGGGGACAUUGUUAGGUGGGCAGUUUGACUGGGGCGGUCG
RNAcentral lists this ribosomal RNA (1654 nucleotides) under human gut metagenome. RNAcentral's name for it is "bacterial LSU rRNA". It matches the Rfam family "Bacterial large subunit ribosomal RNA", at positions 549 to 2285 of the family's 2925-position model. The record is from RNAcentral.